ACGUAGGGGGCAAGCGUUAUCCGGAAUUAUUGGGCGUAAAGAGUGCGUAGGCGGUUUUUUAAGUGUGAGGUGAAAUGCCAUAGCUUAACUAUUGAACUCCUUGCGAACUGGAAGACUUGAGUGCAGGAGAGGAAAGUGGAAUUCCUAGUGUAGCGGUGAAAUGCGUAGAGAUUAGGAGGAACACCAGUGGCGAAGGCGACUUACUGGACUGUAACUGACGCUGAGGCACGAAAGCGUGGGGAGCAAACAG
RNAcentral lists this ribosomal RNA (250 nucleotides) under uncultured prokaryote. RNAcentral describes it as "partial 16S rRNA". It matches the Rfam family "Bacterial small subunit ribosomal RNA", at positions 525 to 775 of the family's 1533-position model. The record is from RNAcentral.